This 773-nucleotide ribosomal RNA is filed under the name uncultured Neocallimastigales. RNAcentral's name for it is "partial large subunit ribosomal RNA". It matches the Rfam family "Eukaryotic large subunit ribosomal RNA", at positions 20 to 633 of the family's 3401-position model. Lineage: Eukaryota; Fungi; Neocallimastigomycota; Neocallimastigomycetes; Neocallimastigales. The record is from RNAcentral.
UACUAGAGUAGCACUCGCAUAUCAAUAAGCGGAGGAAAAGAAACUAACAAGGAUUCCCCUAGUAACGGCGAGUGAAGCGGGAAGAGCUCAAAUUUGAAAUCUUAAAGGGUUUCCCUUACGAAUUGUAGUUUAAAGAAGUGUUUUCUGUUGAGGUUUUGGUAAGAGUUCUUUGGAAUAGGACAUCAUAGAGGGUGAGAAUCCCGUAUUUGACCUUUACUUUCAACUUUGUGAUACACUUUCAAGGAGUCGGAUUGUUUGGGAAUGCAGUCCAAAAUGGGUGGUAAAUUUCAUCUAAAGCUAAAUAUUGGCGAGAGACCGAUAGCGAACAAGUACCGUGAGGGAAAGAUGAAAAGAACUUUGAAAAGAGAGUUAAACAGUACGUGAAAUUGUCAAAAGGGAAGCGUUUGACACCAGUGUUGUUUUUCUGAAAAUCAAUUAAAGAACUGUUUAUGCUAAGUUGUUUAGACUUUAUCAGCUAUCUGUUUAGUUUUGAGCUUUUCUUUAAUGCACUUUUCAGUUAACAAGUCAACAUCAAUUUCUUUUGCUGUAAAAAAGCUUGAGGAAGGUGGCUUGAGAUUCGUCUUAAGUGUUUAUAGCCUCUUGCCUAUGCAGUCGGAGAGAUUGAGGUCUGCAGCGUAGAUCCUUCGGGGCUAAAUGCAUUUGUGCUAAGUUAUAGCAUUUUAUAGACAACUUGUUGACUAUGAUUUGUCUUGUAGCUUACUCGCUUAUGUUAUUUUACCUACGCUUAGGAUGUUGAAGACUCUACAGAGAUA